This 22-nucleotide non-coding RNA is filed under the name Arabidopsis thaliana (thale cress). The record is from RNAcentral. Lineage: Eukaryota; Viridiplantae; Streptophyta; Magnoliopsida; Brassicales; Brassicaceae.
UCACGCUUGGUACUAUGGUUUC